Molecule: long non-coding RNA, 3485 nt
Organism: Bos indicus x Bos taurus (hybrid cattle)
Lineage: Eukaryota; Metazoa; Chordata; Mammalia; Artiodactyla; Bovidae
Source: Ensembl
AAAACAAAACUGAAGAAAAUCACUUAAAUCUAUCCAUAGUUUAUGGAACAGGUAGGAGUAUUAAUAUAGAAACAUGGUUGAAAGGUCAAGAGUAGGAUAUUAGAUGCCACUGGUUUCAAACCCAUCCCUGGGCUGUCUUGAGGUCUGUAAUUAUUUUAGGACCCAGGAGGAGUCUGACUUUGAGUUGGAGGAGCAGCUAACAGAAAUCUCUUGCGGUUGGGCCAAGUUCCCACUCCUCUCCUGGAAGUCGGGAUGCGAUCUCCAUCUAGGGAGAUGCUUAGGUGAGUAGGAGGAGUGGCCUAUGAUGCAGGUGAAUGUGGAGGAAAGCACAGAAGGCAGCUGGUUCCUGAGAAAUGCCUCCCAAUGAUCAGCUCUUGCCCACCUCACUUCCUCCUCCAAACCUGGGUGGAAAUAUGAAGCCACCAUUCACUGGUGGUUACUCAUUCUGAUGACAGAAGCUGAUUGCAACAAAAUGUCAUUUCGCAGCUGUUUGUUUCCACUUCUACUUGCCUGGUCCUCCCGCCCUCCCCCGCCCCGCCCCAAUUCAGACUGAGCUGUCUACAUCAUUCCUUUUGUCUUUUCAGGUGGAGAUGGCAUAAUGGUACCCAUGUCAGUGACAUAGAAGACUCUGUCCUCUCAGCCCUGGGCUUUGUCCCCAGGGGAAGGGGCAAGAGUCGACAGUUAUGGCGCAACGAAGUGACCCAGAAUGGACUUCCUUCCUUCACCUGGACUCUACGAGGAACUGGAGCUUUGGUACCAGCUGUGGCCCCUUGCACCCAUCAGCCUCCUCAGCAGACUAACUUGGAUGCCUCAGGCAUGACCUGCAACCAAGACUGGAAAAAGACAUAAUUUAAGAAACUGUCUCCAACCUGGAUGGAUGGACCUUUCUGUCAGAUACUGUUAACUGACUCAUGCGCAGUGAAAUGGAAGGGAAAUUGACUCUUGAAUUAACUCCGACUUCCAAAGGCCCCUAAGCUGGACUGGUCUAUAGAGAGGCCUGCUGACCUCAAACUCACUUUAAAACGAGUCUCAAAGAGGAAGCUGCACUACACUAGGGUGAGAAGACGACAAGAUCAGAAGUAGACAGCUUGCCCAAGAUGCUGGAUCUGAUUCAUAUGAUCAUUUACACUGUUUUCUGUAUUCCUUGGACCUGUGCCUAUCAGUCAAAUGGUUUGAAUCAUGGAUAUGAUUCUACACUAGUUUAAAUCUCAAUUCAAUUGUUGAGUUGUGGCCAAUAACCUGUGUCUAGUAAUUCUGGGUUACCUUGGUGGAUUUCCCUCUUUCAAGACUCUGAUUGGAUACACCUUAGGAAAUUUAUUUUAGAUGAGAGUUCAGUCCUGUUCUGUCUAUUCAUGAUAUUACUAGAUGAGAUCCUCUCAUCUGGCCAAUUAAUAAUACCUGCUUAAUACCUGCUCUGAUCCUGGCCAUAGAUUUAAGUUUUCUCUUAGGGUCAUUCAAACUCAAUCAGAGUGAUGAGAGCUAAGUCUUAAUCAAAAAACUAACCUCUCAUCUCUUAAAAGGAAAACUCCCACAAUUAUGGGAUGAAUCUAUAUGCUUAACACCAGACUAUGAUCAUUUAAAUUUAAAAGCUCCUCUAUGUUGGAAACAAUUAAAUCAUACUAAAAAUGACCAACCUGGUAAUAUUAUGAGACAAAGCUGGGUGCUUUAUGAACUAUGCCUAUUAUUACCCUUAGAGAGAGAAAUUGGUAUGAAACUCAGUGGAUUUGUGGCACUAAUUUAUGGCCUUGAUAUCUACAGGGAUGGAUACAAAGGUGUAGCCUGGAUUUCCAUGAAUUUAAGGUCAUACACAUUAACAAAUUAGAGGUAACCCCAACCAAUCUACCAUUGGUAUGAUCCCAGUUGGUCAAAGCUCUGUAUUCUACUGGUAUGACCAUUUAGCAGCUUUGUGUGUGUGUGUGUCUUCAUUGAGGUUGGAGGAUAUAAUUGGCCAUAUCGAAGCCUUAACAACUUUCAUAAGCUUUAAAUGAUAGUAACUGGGCUAUUAGCGUAUUGAAUUCUGAGAUCUCUAUGAUAAGAAAGGCAGUGCUACACAACUGCAAGGCCCUUGACACUUUACAGCACCACAGGAAGAUAGCUGUGCUACAAUCCAAAGUGAAUGCUAUAUUUUCAUUCCUGAUAAAUCCUUUAAUGUAAUACAUUUUAUGAACCAUAUGAAAAAUCAUAUUUCUGCCUAAGUGACCCAUUCCCUAGUCUUGACAAUCUUUUAAAAAACUGGUUUGGUGUGGGAGGCUCAUGGCUAAAAUGUUUAGUUUUAAUUCCACUAAUGUCAUUAACUAUACUAUUUGUAUUUUGCCCGUUUCACAAGAUUAUUGUUUCUUGUAUUACCAAGUGUAUGACUGAGCCUCCAAUGAAAAUAAUGAUGACUAGACUUGAUAUAUAUAUGAUCAAUGAUUGUAAUAGUGUAACUCUAGAUAUGGGAAGAUGCAACAAAAGGGAAUACUUUCCUGGACCAUGACUAGAAGACAGGUGUCCAGCGGUCUUUGACUAUUAAGACCUAGUCCAAUAAUAGCACAUUGAGCGGCCUAUCAGCAAAAACUUUCAGAACUGGGAACGAGCCUUCCCAGUAAUGUGAGAAUGGUCAUGAAAGGCCCCCCAAGGUAUGGUCUGAUUUAUGACCACAAGGGGGCCGUGUCAACUACAAAUUGACACUUACCAAGAGCAUUGCCAACGACUGAACAGCAAAGGCAUCUGCCAUCUGCCUCUAUGAGACGGAACCCCACACUGCUGUAGCUGUUGACCUUCAACACCCCCUGAGGGAGUUCAGGGUGGAGUGAGGCACUCUGUGCUCCAGGGACAGGUCUUUAGAUAGUUGGAGGUUUUUAGGAACCGAUUUUAUGAUCUCAGUCCUUGCAUCUCCUUAUAUCUAGAGAAGCACUAAAUUCCUUCAUGGUGACAUUAGAGCCUCAGGACUAACAGAAAACCCUUUUGUAAACUGAGUGCUUAAUGGUAUUGAACUCCCCAUUCACCAAAACCUUAUAUAUUGACCUUACCCCACUGCCACUUUGGAGCAGUGUUUCAAAGCUACCUGAGAUGCCGCCUCCUGGGCUACAGUCCUCAUUUUUCCCCAGAUAAAAUUUAACUCACAACUCUCAAAAAAAAAAAAAAAAAAGUAUUUUAUUUUUUAAAUAGAAAAUCCAUGGUCAUGGUCCAAAACCCAAAAGAUAAGAGAAGGAUAUUUAGUGACAAAUCUUCUGCUGCCUCAUCCUCAACCAGUGUUCUCCCCAGUACUUUUCUUCAUUGUUACUAGUUUCUUUUAUUCCAACCAGAGAUUGUGUGUGUGUGUAUGAGUGUGUGAGUGUACGAGUGUGUCUUAAUUUAGGCUACCCUAGAAACAGACCUUGACAUAAGGAUUGAAAUGCGGCUAUUUAUCUGGGAAGUGCUCCCAGGAAACUUCUGCAGGGACUGGGGCAUGAGACUGGGGAGGGAAGGCAGCCAAUAAAGGGAAGAUCAUGUUGUAAAUCCCA